This 1867-nucleotide ribosomal RNA is filed under the name Triticum aestivum (bread wheat). RNAcentral's name for it is "partial small subunit ribosomal RNA". Lineage: Eukaryota; Viridiplantae; Streptophyta; Magnoliopsida; Poales; Poaceae. The record is from RNAcentral.
GCCACGCAAGCGAGCCGACUAAGUUGGCCUAAACUCUUUCAGAGCGCAGGCCGAGGGAGGUCUUGGAAGGGCGUCCAGGAUAGAUAAAUAAGUGUGCGCGCACGCGCUAGGUCGCCCUUUAGUCUCCGCCACAGCGUCCAGCGUUGACUAUCUGUCUGCGUCUCCGCUUCGCUUUCUGUCGCUGAGCUCUCCGAAGCCUCCGGUCCCAGCGUCAGCGUCGCCGCUGCUUCGUUUCUACAGCAUAAGCUCCAUGUCCUCAGCAAGUUCCUCACACCUGAGCUCACUACAACUCUUGGGACCCUUGUUAGAGAAGCACUGACCAAAUAGUAGAGCAGAUUGACUAGUUCUAGACCUCUUCGUAAAGAGAUGUCUCCCUCUCCACUAACUACGUUCAUAUCAUGAACUAGGUACCUGUUCCCUUAGUGCACCUAAACCCAAACAGUGGUACCGAUGAGAAUUCCUCCGUCUUGCGACGUAGUUUAUAGAGCUGGCAAGUCACGACCUUCCAGCACAGUAAUGACAACUCUUCCAUAACGGUUUUCUUACAAUUGAGAGACUAUAAACAGGUAAGAGGAAGAGGAAGAUAUACCUCACCUUAAUAAUACAUGUCUAAUCGGAAGGUUCGAUUUAUAAACUUACAAGAAGAACAAACUUCUAAAACAACUGUCGUCGUCCAACUACGGGUGUCGACAAACCGUAGUUAAGUUUUCUAUGUGUUGGAUUCUAGCUUUGUUACGAUGGAGUUGGUUUCCCAGCAUGCGGGUGGUAAUAACAAAAAGGAAUGGUAAAUACAAGAAGUCUAGGGGUUAUUAAAUAAGCCAGAACGAAAACUGUAUUUUGUGUUCAUGACUAAAACUCGGGGAAGAGGUGGUGUCCGUUUCGCUUCUGCUCCAGCUUGGGGUUGUGGCCCUUCCAUAGACCCGCGGUUUAGUAGCGCACCUUCCUCCAUAAGGGCUUCGUCCAGUGGACAAUCCUCUCUGGCAAUGUCGAGUGCGAUGAGCGGACUCGCUCUUGCGAGAAUAAGAGGAAUAGCGUCUCCUGCUAGUAUGAGAGCAGCACUGUCCGCAUCUAGUAUGAGGGCUUCCUCUAGUAUGUGAGGAAGGCUGUCCAGCCUCAGAGGGAUGCUGUCCGCUUCCAGGAUGAGUGGCAUGCUGUCCGCGUAUAGAAUGAGUGGGGUGGUACCAGUGGCGGUGGCAAGUUCUAGAGGUAUGGCAAUGUCAUCCGCCUCCAGCGCGAGGGUGCUGGCAAGACAAAGUCGUAUGAUGUCGUCCGCGAUAAGAGGUUCCUCGUCUUCUGCCUCGAUGAGAGCGUCGUAUAGCGGUGCGUCCUCGAUGAGGGCGUCGACGAGGGGCCGCAGUCUUCUUAGUUCCUCGACAAGAGGCGCCUUUCCUGCGCGGCCUUCGUUCCGUAGCGCGUCGUCCAGUGGACCCUUCUCCGCAAGGUCUCUUUCGAUACGAGUGUCGGCGUCAAGUACGAGCUCCAGGCAGAGGUCCCUCGCGAGUUGGAGUCGUUCGUGGACUACAAAAUGCUUCGCGGUCCGGUGGCAUAAAGGCAACACUACAACCUUAAAAUCAAUGAAACGUACAAACAUCUGCCACACCUACCAUACUAGCACGUGGAUCACUUCGUCGACAUAAAGCAGUACCAAGACCUGAACGUACGGUAUACAUACGAUAUACGACAUGACCUAUGAAGACACAGACAAAAGUCAGACCAACCGUCAAAUGUAGUACCUAAACCGAUUGCCUAUCAAAACAUGAGGGAGACAGGGUACGAUAUACUACAAUAUAAUACACUGUCUCCCUCAUGGGUACGAUAUACGAGAACAUAAUGCACUGCCUCCCUCAUACAAGACGACUAGACGAGA